UUAAGAUACUAAGAGCAUACGGUGGAUGCCUUGGCGAUAUCUGCCGACGAAGGACGUGACAAGCUGCGAAAAGCUGCGGAGAGAUGCAAAUAAUCGGCGACCCGCAGACAUCCGAAUGGAGAAAUCCGGCUGUGAUGAUGCACAGCCAUCCAUGCCCAAGAGCAUGAGAAGGGAACCGGGCGAACUGAAACAUCUAAGUAACCCGAGGAAAAGAAAUCAAACGAGAUACCCCAAGUAGCGGCGAGCGAACAGGGAAGAAGCCCAAACCGGUGAAGGAAACUUUACCGGGGUUGAGGACCAUCAGAACCGCGAAGAACCUUAGCCGAAACUGUUGGGAAACAGUGCCAAAGACAGUGAAAGCCUGGUAGGCGAAAAAGAGAAACGCGGAGAUGGCACCAGAGUACCGCGGGACACGAGAAAUCCCGUGGGAAGCAGGGGGGACCACCCUCCAAGGCAAAACACAGAUAUCGACCGAUAGCGCAUAGUACCAUGAGGGAAAGGUGAAAAGCACCCCGGGAGGGGAAUGAAAGAGAACCUGAAACCGUAUGUUUACAAGCAGUCGGAGACCGCUUAAUAAUAAGGUCGACGGCGUGCCUAUUGAAGAAUGAACCGGCGAGUUACGAAGCCUGGCAAGGUUAAGCAGGAAAUGCGGAGCCGAAGCGAAAGCGAGUCUUAAGAGGGCGCAAGUCAGGAAGCGUAGACCCGAAACCACAGUGAUCUACCCAUGUCCAGGUUGAAACACAGGUAAAAAUGUGUGGAGGACCGAACCUAUAUCCGUUGAAAAGGGUUAGGAUGAGGUGUGGGUAGGGGUGAAAUUCCAAUCGAACGUGGAGAUAGCUGGUUCUCCCCGAAAUAGCUUUAGGGCUAGCCUCAGGGAAAAGAUUGCAGGCGGUAGAGCACUGAUCAGGAGAGGGACCUACCCGGUUACCAAACCCAGUCAAACUCCGAAUGGCUGCAAUCAUACCUGGGAGUCAGACUGCGACUAAUAAGGGCCGCAGUCAAAAGGGAAACAGCCCAGACCAUCAGCUAAGGUCCCCAAUGCCGUGCUAAGUGGCGAAGGAUGUGGCAUUUCAUAAACAACCAGGAUGUUGGCUCAGAAGCAGCCACCAUUUAAAGAGUGCGUAAUAGCUCACUGGUCGAGAGACGCUGCGCCGAAAAUGUCCGGGGCUCAAGCACGGAACCGAAGCUAUGGCAUGAUAGCAAUAUCAUGGGUAGGGGAGCGUUCUUAUAAGGAAGAAGCAUGACCGGAAGGACAUGUGGACAAAUAAGAAGUGAGAAUGCCGGUAUGAGUAUCGAAAAGAAAGGUGAGAAUCCUUUCCACCGAAAGCCCGAGGGUUCCUGAGCAACGAUCGUCGACUCAGGGUAAGUCGGGACCUAAGCCGAGGCGGAAAGCGUAGGCGAUGGACAACAGGUUGAAAUUCCUGUACCGGAUCAAGUCGAUUGAGCGAAGGAGCGACGCAGGAGGGCACAUGAUCGCGCGGCUGGAAGAGCGCGUCCAAGUGCGUAUGUUGCAGCAGAGGAAAACCCCUGCAGCUAAAAGCAGAGACAUGAAGGGGAGUUAAAGGAAACUUUGACGAACUCAUGAAUCCCACACUGCCAAGAAAAACUUCUAGCGAGACAAGAUCCGCCCGUACCGUAAACCGACACAGGUAGGCGGGGAGAGAAUCCUAAGGUGCGCGGGAAAACCCUCGUUAAGGAACUCGGCAAAUUGCAUCCGUAACCUAGGGAGAAGGAUGGCCCCCGGUCAGUGAAGAGCAGAAACGCUCAGAGCUAAAAGGGGCGGCAGAAAAGAGGCCCAAGCAACUGUUUACCAAAAACACAGGUGCCUGCGAAAGCGAAAGCUGAAGUAUAGGUGCUGACGCCUGCCCGGUGCCGGAAGGUUAAGGAGAGAAGUUAGCGAAAGCGAAGCAUCGAACUGAAGCCCCGGUGAACGGCGGCCGUAACUAUAACGGUCCUAAGGUAGCGAAAUUCCUUGUCGGGUAAG
RNAcentral lists this ribosomal RNA (1984 nucleotides) under human gut metagenome. RNAcentral's name for it is "bacterial LSU rRNA". It matches the Rfam family "Bacterial large subunit ribosomal RNA", at positions 1 to 1980 of the family's 2925-position model. The record is from RNAcentral.